Molecule: long non-coding RNA, 1691 nt
Organism: Oncorhynchus gorbuscha (pink salmon)
Lineage: Eukaryota; Metazoa; Chordata; Actinopteri; Salmoniformes; Salmonidae
Exons: 2
Source: RefSeq, a predicted model, not a curated record
GAGAGAGAGAGAGAGAGAGGAUAAAGAGAGAGAGAGGAGAGAGAGAGAGAGAGAGAGAGAGAGAGAGAGAGAGAGAGAGAGAGAGAGAGGAUAAGUUCACUGUCUCACAAGUUUAACACAACUCCAAUCAAUCAGUCACCCAAAUGUAAUACUGAUGUGUGUAACUGCUGCUCAGUGAAGCCGGAGCAACAACUCCCCCUCAGCACGUCAUUUGUGUUUGUCAGGGCUUACAUACUGUAUAUGUGGAAGAAUUAAGGCCAUACAUGUGAAUAUAUUUCUUAAGAGGGCAUGUAUAUGAAUUUAUUCGUUAGAUGAAUGAACUGGUUUGGUUUGGCGCCUGGGGCAUACAGGUUAAUAUAUGUGUUAGGUGAGUGGGGUAUGAGUGGGACUGCAUACAGGUUAAUAUAUGUGUUAGGUGAGUGGGGUAUGAGUGGGACUGCAUACAGGUUAAUAUAUGUGUUAGGUGGUGAGUGGGGUAUGAGUGGGACUGCAUACAGGUUAAUAUAUGUGUUAGGUGGUGAGUGGGGUAUGAGUGGGACUGCAUACAGGUUAAUAUAUGUGUUAGGUGAGUGGGGUAUGAGUGGGACUGCAUACAGGUUAAUAUAUGUGUUAGGUGGUGAGUGGGGUAUGAGUGGGACUGCAUACAGGUUAAUAUAUGUGUUAGGUGAGUGGGGUAUGAGUGGGACUGCAUACAGGUUAAUAUAUGUGUUAGGUGGUGAGUGGGGUAUGAGUGGGACUGCAUACAGGUUAAUAUAUGUGUUAGGUGGUGAGUGGGGUAUGAGUGGGACUGCAUACAGGUUAAUAUAUGUGUUAGGUGGUGAGUGGGGUAUGAGUGGGACUGCAUACAGGUUAAUAUAUUCCGUAGAUGAUUUGCCCUCAGGAUGUCUGUUUGUCUGACUUCCCUGACUUUGACAUCAUGUUGUUGUACAGAUUUUAACUCUUCAAAUGACAUUCAGGUAGGCUGGCGAUCUGAAGCCUUGCUCUAGUGCUGCAUACCUGUGAACUCUGACCCCUGAUGAACACAGAUUAACUUCCUCUGUUCCCCUGCUGUUGUUAUUGUUGUUUUCCUCCUCCAUUCCAGAUCUGCCUUCUUCGUGUGUGUGUUGAUGAUGAUGCAGAAACUCUGAUGUAGAUUCAGUCUGACCUUUAAUGAUUACUUUUGACAGUUGUCGCUCAUAAGUUUGUUUUAUACGUUAGCGUUUUCGUGUCGGCGAGUCAGAGCUCCUUCAUGUGCCAAUCCCCGUCUUCACGGAAGAGCAGGAUUCUUACCUGUGAUGUAAUGGCAUAGGCUAUAUAUAAAUGUUGUAAAUAACAGUUUAUGAAGUAUUACUUGAUUCUAUGUAAUUAUUACGAUGAGGACUAUUUUAAUAAUGUCAUGUUAUUUGCUGUGGUUGUAGUUGAAUCAUCUUAUUCUCUCAUUUCCAUUGUGUCAUUGAAGAACCCAUAAGUUGUAGGGCUACAGAUCAAACUGAAGGGGAGAAAAACCAAAAUGAUACGUCAACAUUAAAGUGGAUUCUAAUUCUGACAACUGAAGCAAGACUGAAGUUGAGGAAGUAUUUUGUUUUUAUUGUAGGUGUAGACCAGUGUUGGUCUGUGUGUCUCUAAAUGCUAUAUGGAUAGAGGGCAGGUAGACCCUUCUGGAAAAAGAACACAAAGAUUUUUUUUUUUUAAAUAAAUUUGGUUAAAGGAGA